AGAUGUUAAAAGCCAGAGACAUGGGAGAGCAUCAUUCUUUUGAGAUUUUAUAACUUAAACCAACUUUUGAGUUGUCUGAUUUGGAGAGUCAUCAUUCUUGGUCUUCCCUCUUAAAGGCCACUGAUGAAGAGCAGGCAGUGACUGGAUGAAUGCUGGUCAGAGAAGAUAUUGUGCUUUCCCCUCAGUGGUUUUAAAGGAGGACGCUGCCCUGGAUGAUGUAGAUGUCGUCACAUGCUGUGCUGAUGGGGCUUCUUCAUGACUACAUCAAAUAUGCUGAAGAGAUCAUGAAAAUUGACUGUGAUGCUUGAUCUGUAUUCAUGGACUAUGAAACUGUAAGUGUAUAAUUUGUAAAAACAA
This is a long non-coding RNA of Carassius carassius (crucian carp), 357 nucleotides long. RefSeq lists it as uncharacterized. NCBI's taxonomy places the organism in Eukaryota, Metazoa, Chordata, Actinopteri, Cypriniformes, Cyprinidae. The transcript has 3 exons. The record is from RefSeq and is a predicted model, not a curated record.